This 460-nucleotide ribosomal RNA is filed under the name uncultured bacterium. Its description in RNAcentral is "partial 16S ribosomal RNA". It matches the Rfam family "Bacterial small subunit ribosomal RNA", at positions 338 to 795 of the family's 1533-position model. The record is from RNAcentral.
CCUACGGGCGGCUGCAGUGAGGAAUAUUGGUCAAUGGGCUGACGCCUGAACCAGCCAAGUCGCGUGAGGGAAGACUGCCCUAUGGGUUGUAAACCUCUUUUGUCAGGGAGCAACGCCGGCUACGUGUAGCCGGACUGAGAGUACCUGAAGAAAAAGCAUCGGCUAACUCCGUGCCAGCAGCCGCGGUAAUACGGAGGAUGCGAGCUUUAUCCGGAUUUAUGGGGUUUAAGGGGUGCGUAGGCGGAAUGCCAAGUCAGCGGUAAAAUCGCGGGGCUCAACCUCGCUCCGCCGUUGAAACUGGCGUUCUUGAGUGGGCGAGAAGUAUGCGGAAUGCGUGGUGUAGCGGUGAAAUGCAUAGAUAUCACGCAGAACUCCGAUUGCGAAGGCAGCAUACCGGCGCCCAACUGACGCUGAAGCACGAAAGCGUGGGUAUCGAACAGGAUUAGAUACCCUAGUAGUC